CUCUCCCUCUCCCUCUCCCUCUCCCUCUCCCUCUCCCUCUCCCUCCACGGUCUCCCUCUGAUGCCGAGCCAAGGCUGGACGGUACUGCUGCCAUCUCGGCUCACUGCAACCUCCCUGCCUGAUUCUCCUGCCUCAGCCUGCCGAGUGCCUGCGAUUGCAGGCGCGCACCGCCACGCCUGACUGGUUUUCGGUUUUUUUUGGUGGAGACGGGGUUUCGCUGUGUUGGCCGGGCUGGUCUCCAGCUCCUAGCCGCGAGUGAUCCGCCAGCCUCGGCCUCCCGAGGUGCCGGGAUUGCAGAUGGAGUCUCGUUCACUCAGUGCUCAAUGGUGCCCAGGCUGGAGUGCAGUGGCGUGAUCUCGGCUCGCUGCAACCACCUCCCAGCCGCCUGCCUUGGCCUCCCGGAGAGCCGAGAUUGCAGCCUCUGCCCAGCAGCCACCCCGUCUGGGAAGUGAGGAGCGUCUCUGCUUGGCCACCCAUCGUCUGGGAUGUGAGGAGCCCCUCUGCCUGGCUGCCCAGUCUGGAAAGUGAGGAGCGUCUCUGCCCGGCCGCCAUCCCAUCUGGGAAGCGAGGAGCGCCUCUUCCCCGCCGCCAUCCCAUCUAGGAAGUGAGGAGCGUCUCUGCCCGGCCGCCCAUCGUCUGAGAUGUGGGGAGCACCUCUGCCCCGCCGCCCUGUCUGGGAUGUGAGGAGUGCCUCUGCUGGGCCGCAGCCCUGUCUGGGAGGUGGGGAGCGUCUCUGCCCGGCCGCUCCGUCUGAGAAGUGAGGAAACCCUCUGCCUGGCAACCGCCCCGUCUGAGAAGUGAGGAGCCCCUCCGUCCGGCAACCACCCCGUCUGGGAAAUGAGGAGCGUCUCCGCCCAGCAGCCACCCCGUCCGGGAGGGAGGUGGGGGGGGUCAGCCCCCCGCCCGGCCAGCCACCCCGUCCGGGAGGUGAGGGGCUCCUCUGCCCGGCCGCCCCUACUGGGAAGUGAGGAGCCCCUCUGCCCGGCCAGCCGCCCCAUCCGGGAGGGAGGCGGUGGGGGGGGGGGUCGGCCAGCCGCCCCGUCCGGGAGGGAGGUGGGGGGGUCAGCCCCCCGCCCGGCCAGCCGCCCCGUCUGGGAGGUGAGGGGCUCCUCUGCCCGGCCGCCCCUACUGGGAAGUGAGGAGCCCCUCUGCCCGGCCAGACGCCCCGUCCAGGAGGGAGGUGGGGGGUCAGCCCCCCGCCCGGCCAGCCGCCCCGUCUGGGAGGGAGGUGGGGGGAUCAGCCCCCCGCCUGGCCAGCCGCCCCAUCCGGGAGGUGAGGGGCGCCUCUGCCCGGCCGCCCCUACUGGGAAGUGAGGAGCCCCUCUGCCCGGCCAGCCGCCCCGCCCGGGAGGGAGGUGGGGGGGUCAUCCCCCCACCUGGCCAGCCGCCCCAUCCGGGAGGGAGGUGGGGGGAUCAGCCCCCCGCCUGGCCAGUCGCCCCGUCCGGGAGGUGAGGGGCGCCUCUGCCCGGCCGCCCCUACUGGAAAGUGAGGAGCCCCUCUGUCCGGCCAGCCGCCCCGUCCGGGAGGGAGGCGGUGGGGGGGGUCGGCCAGCCGCCCCGUCCGGGAGGGAGGUGGGGGGGGUCAGCCCCCCUUCCGGCCGGCCGCCCCGUCCGGGAGGUGAGGGGCGCCUCUGCCCGGCCGCCCCUACUGGGAAGUGAGGACCCCUCUGCCCGGCCAGCCGCCCCGUCCGGGAGGGAGGUGGGGGGGACAGCCCCCCGCCCAGCCAGCCGCCCUAUCCAGGAGGUGAGGGGCGCCUCUGCCCGGCCGCCCCUACUGGGAAGUGAGGAGCCCCUCUGCCUGGCCAGCCGCCCCGUCCGGGAGGGUGGUGGGGGGGUCAGCCCCCGCCCGGCCAGCCGCCCCAUCCGGGAGGUGAGGGGCGCUUCUGCCCGGCCGCCCCUACUGGGAAGUGAGGAGCCCCUCUGCCCGGCCACGACCCCGUCUGGGAGGUGUGCCCAGCGGCUCAUUGGGGAUGGGCCAUGAUGACAAUGGCGGUUUUGUGGAAUAGAAAGGCGGGAAGGGUGGGGAAAAAAUUGAGAAAUCGGAUGGUUGCCGGGUCUGUGUGGAUAGAAGUAGACAUGGGAGACUUUUCAUUUUGUUCUGUACUAAGAAAAAUUCUUCUGCCUUGGGAUCCUGUUGAUCUGUGACCUUAUCCCCAACCCUGUGCUCUCUGAAACAUGUGCUGUGUCCACUCAGGGUUAAAUGGAUUAAGGGUGGUGCAAGAUGUGCUUUGUUAAACAGAUGCUUGAAGGCAGCAUGCUCGUUAAGAGUCAUCACCACUCCCUAAUCUUAAGUACCCAGGGACACAAACACUGCGGAAGGCCAAGGCCGCAGGGUCCUCUGCCUAGGAAAACCAGAGACCUUUGUUCACUUGUUUAUCUGCUGACCUUCC
This 2390-nucleotide long non-coding RNA is filed under the name Homo sapiens (human). Its description in RNAcentral is "HSALNT0346414". The record is from RNAcentral. Lineage: Eukaryota; Metazoa; Chordata; Mammalia; Primates; Hominidae.